UUUUAUUUGAUGCUUGCAUCUUUUAAAAAGUUGAGUGGCGAACGGGUGAGUAACACGUGGGUAACCUGCCUUAAAGUGGGGGAUAACACUUGGAAACAGGUGCUAAUACCGCAUAACCAUCAAAACCACCUGGUUUUGAUGUUAAAGAUGGUUCUGCUAUCGCUUUAAGAUGGACCCGCGGCGUAUUAGCUAGUUGGUGAGGUAACGGCUUACCAAGGCAAUGAUACGUAGCCGAACUGAGAGGUUGAUCGGCCACAUUGGGACUGAGACACGGCCCAAACUCCUACGGGAGGCAGCAGUAGGGAAUCUUCCACAAUGGACGAAAGUCUGAUGGAGCAACGCCGCGUGAGUGAAGAAGGUUUUCGGAUCGUAAAACUCUGUUGUCAGAGAAGAACGUGUGUGAGAGUAACUGUUCACGCAGUGACGGUAUCUGACCAGAAAGUCACGGCUAACUACGUGCCAGCAGCCGCGGUAAUACGUAGGUGGCAAGCGUUGUCCGGAUUUAUUGGGCGUAAAGGGAACGCAGGCGGUCUUUUAAGUCUGAUGUGAAAGCCUUCGGCUUAACCGAAGUCGGGCAUUGGAAACUGGGAGACUUGAGUGCAGAAGAGGAGAGUGGAACUCCAUGUGUAGCGGUGAAAUGCAUAGAUAUAUGGAAGAACACCAGUGGCGAAAGCGGCUCUCUGGUCUGUAACUGACGC
This 698-nucleotide ribosomal RNA is filed under the name uncultured bacterium. RNAcentral's name for it is "bacterial SSU rRNA". It matches the Rfam family "Bacterial small subunit ribosomal RNA", at positions 67 to 746 of the family's 1533-position model. The record is from RNAcentral.